Molecule: unclassified non-coding RNA, 338 nt
Filed under: soil metagenome
Description: partial contains 5.8S ribosomal RNA, internal transcribed spacer 2, and large subunit ribosomal RNA
Rfam family: 5.8S ribosomal RNA (bases 1-120)
Source: RNAcentral
GAUGAAGAACGCAGCGAAAUGCGAUAAGUAGUGUGAAUUGCAGAAUUCAGUGAAUCAUCGAAUCUUUGAACGCACAUUGCGCCCCUUGGUAUUCCAUGGGGCAUGCCUGUUCGAGCGUCAUUUGUACCUUCAAGCUCUGCUUGGUGUUGGGUGUUUUGUCUCGCCUCUGCGUGUAGACUCGCCUUAAAACAAUUGGCAGCCGGCGUAUUGAUUUCGGAGCGCAGCACAUCUCGCGCUUUGCACUCAUAACGGCGACGUCCAAAAGUACAUUUUUACACUCUUGACCUCGGAUCAGGUAGGGAUACCCGCUGAACUUAAGCAUAUCAAUAAGCGGAGGA